GGAGAGGCGGCUGGGCCCGGCAUGGGCCGGCCAUGGUCAGGAAGCAGAGACUGGGGCAGAAGGUGGGGAGAAGAGAAGUGCCAAAACUUGUGAAAAGUUGUGUGGUUUGCAACUCCAGUUGUAAACACUGAAAUCAAUGGAAUAUAUUUCCACUGGGAGCCAGUUAAGGGAACCUUUACAUUACCCCAAGAUUAUGCCAGUUGUGUCUGGAGGACCUAUGCAGAAUCGUAUGACAAUAGCGCUCUUUAGAUGUUAAAAAGGUGACCCCGGAGACCAACCUGGCUGCCACUUUCUGCACCAGUUGCAGUUUCCGAACGACAUACAACAUCAGCCCAACGUAACGCACAUUGCAGUUCUCAAGCGUGGAUGUUACCAGCAUAUGAACCACUGUUUUAAGGCCGUUUGUCUCGAGAAAUGGACGUAGUUGGCAUAUCAGCUGGAGGCCUCUCACAAUAAGGCAUUAUUAUUGGAUGUCAUUUCUUGAUGCUACCAAAAAUGCAGAGAGUGGCUGCAAUCCAGAAGAUGAGCACAAUGAAAGAAGCCGGUGUUUUCCCAUUGCUGGCUGUGGACCGACUUCUGCUUUUAAUUCUUGCCCUUCAGCUGACUACAGUACUAAUCAGGAACUAUCAUCAGAGGAAUGCUUCAAGUGAAAGUGGGCACCUUAUAGCCAGUAGACUCUUUAAUGGCCCUUGUAAGCACUUCAAUGCUGCUGAGAUAUUAUUAUUUUUGCCAGAAAUGUAGGAAUCUUGAACUUCUAAGUACAUGUGUUGCUGUAAGCCCUGUAAACUGACAGAGCAAACUGACAGCCAACUCAAACAAUCAAUGGGCAAAUUCAGAUGAUCUGGUGGCAAGAAAGGGGGUGGGAAUCACUGAUUCCUGCUGAGCAUGCAAUCCUGGCACAAGUCGCAAGUGUCAGAUUCCUGAGCAGCACUUCCCCUGUCAGCUGACAUCCACCACUCAACAGCAAACCUAAGUUAUGGAUGCCGAGUGGCGGGGGGGAAAUGCUGCUCAGGAAACCAGAGUCUCUGGGUUUGGACAACACGAAACGUGUGGCACUUGCGACUCACACUGGGGUGUUUGCUCGGCAGGAAGCAAUGAUUACCACCACCUUACUUGCCACCAGGUCGUCUGAACCCAAUGAAUAUUUACAAGUUAUCCUAAUAAUUGUCUCUGAAAAAUACAGAAAUGUAAUCUACUGUCAGAAACAUGAUGAUUAACAACAAUUAAAUCUUCCAACCAAGCAAUCUUCCAAUGCUCGUGGAAUUAUAAAGACACUAUAAUAUUUUUCUGUGCUUC
Hemicordylus capensis (graceful crag lizard) is the source of this 1296-nucleotide long non-coding RNA. RefSeq lists it as uncharacterized. Lineage: Eukaryota; Metazoa; Chordata; Lepidosauria; Squamata; Cordylidae. The record is from RefSeq and is a predicted model, not a curated record. The transcript is spliced from 5 exons.